RNAcentral lists this transfer RNA (91 nucleotides) under Tenericutes bacterium GWF2_38_8. RNAcentral describes it as "tRNA-Ser". It matches the Rfam family "tRNA". From Rfam's summary of the family: Transfer RNA (tRNA) molecules are approximately 80 nucleotides in length. Lineage: Bacteria; Bacillati; Mycoplasmatota. The record is from RNAcentral. RNAcentral also lists the same sequence under 1 other name.
GGAGUAAUACUCAAGUGGCUCAAGAGGCGCCUCUGCUAAGGGCGUAGGCUGGGAAACCGGUGCUAGGGUUCAAAUCCCUAUUACUCCGCCA